Molecule: long non-coding RNA, 257 nt
Organism: Herpailurus yagouaroundi (jaguarundi)
Lineage: Eukaryota; Metazoa; Chordata; Mammalia; Carnivora; Felidae
Exons: 2
Source: RefSeq, a predicted model, not a curated record
CCAGGGAGUCCACCUCCCACCGCUGUGCAGCUCUGUUUUGCUUCUUGUUUGCUAACCAAGAAGUCACUUUCUGGUGUGACACCAUCUAUCUGUUCAGUCCUUAAAAAACAUGAUAUCCUACAAACCAAUGUAGGAAGCACACCCUAAGAGGGUCUGUUUCCCUCUUGGUAAUGGAUGGAGAAACUUCUCAUAGUCGGCGAGGGAUCGGUCGUAAAAACUUCGCCUGGAAGAUUAAUGUAACAAUCACGGGCCUUGCU